UGUGUCAGCAAUAGUGUGGCCAGCAGGACCAGGGCAAUGAUUGUCCUUCUGUGCUUGGCACUGGUGAGGCUGCACCUCAGAUCCUGUGCUCAGUUCCAGGCCCAUGAGUCACAGUGGGACAGACAUUUAGGGGCUGAAGCAUGUCCAGAGGAGGACAACGAUGCUGGUAAAGGGUACUCUGGAGUUUGUCUAGAAGGCAACAAACCUGAGCAGUUUGAAUCUGAAUGAACCUGAUUCAGAACCUGUAUUUUGAUUCAGAUCCGCCAAGAACAUAAGAAAACAGGAUUUUUUUUUUUUUGUUCAGAAAAGGACUUACAUAGAAGAGUGGCCUUCAAACCCUGAGAGAUUUAUUCAGCCUGUUGGAACCUCUGUCUGCUCAUUAAGGGAAGUUAUAUCACUUGCAUUCUAAUCCAAAGUUUAGUGAAGUUAAUAACAAAUUUCUGAUGUAUUUUUUAACUCUGAGAAUUAUGAGUGUCAGAAAUUAAAUGCUUGUUUAAUAAUAACAACAAGUUUAAAGAACCCUUUUGCUCCUAAUUAAGUUUUUCUACACUUUAUGAAUUAUUGGUGCAAAAUCAUUCUGAAUAUCAUUAUUAUUUAGUGUUAUUAGCAUAAUUUCCAUGAGGAGGACCAUGUUUUGUGCUUUAAAUAGUGUAUAAUACAUUUGAAAUGAUCAUGUGGUUUUGGAAAGUUGUAAUUUUUUUUUUUCUUUGGAAUUACAUUUUCAAAUGUCACUGUUAGUGGUUCCAAAAUUUCAAAGUUCUUAUGAAGCAAUAGCACAGAGCUGGUUCAGUGUUGGGUUUUUGCUGUUGUUGUUGAUGGUUUU
Molecule: long non-coding RNA, 823 nt
Organism: Serinus canaria (Common canary)
Lineage: Eukaryota; Metazoa; Chordata; Aves; Passeriformes; Fringillidae
Exons: 3
Source: RefSeq, a predicted model, not a curated record